CUAAUAGUCUGUUUAUCAAAACAUCAUGAACAUCCUCUGUUGUCUGUCUAGAAACGGUGCUGUUACAGAUACUGCUUGUGUUUGUCAUCAUGUGACUGCAUGGGAAGAUUAGAACAUGUCACCACCCUUUUCUUUAGAACUGCCUGUUGGGCUGUUGUUGAGCGGCUGGUAUCACCCUUCUCCCAUUAUCCCCCACGUUGUUCCACCUCCACUUCUGGGAGGAACCAGGCGGGACCACAGAGCAGAUUCCCUCAUCUCAUCCCACCAACUCUGUCAGUCCAGCAGGCCCCACAAUGCAGCCUCCACACCACUGCAGUAACAGCCAUAUCUUCCCAUCACAAAGCUUCAGUACUGUCUCAAUGUGUUGAAUUACCAUCCAGGAUCCUGUGGCAACGUCAAUGUGAAACAGCAUUGACCCGUGAUCACCACCAACCAGGGCUCCACAGUGGUAAUC
Non-coding RNA from Salmo salar (Atlantic salmon), 454 nucleotides. The record is from RefSeq and is a predicted model, not a curated record. NCBI's taxonomy places the organism in Eukaryota, Metazoa, Chordata, Actinopteri, Salmoniformes, Salmonidae.